Long non-coding RNA from Cephus cinctus (wheat stem sawfly), 644 nucleotides. RefSeq lists it as uncharacterized. Lineage: Eukaryota; Metazoa; Arthropoda; Insecta; Hymenoptera; Cephidae. The record is from RefSeq and is a predicted model, not a curated record. The transcript is spliced from 2 exons.
AUCGGUUUAUAGGGUUGUUGACAGCGGCGGGAAAUUUGAAUAAUAUGAAAGCGUCUUAGCGUUGUUACACGCUUCUGGAUGACUAUGUGUAUUCUGGAUGAGUAUGGAGGCGCAGGGUGAAGAUUGUCAUUCAUGAUGACAGGAAGAUCACCGGAAAUGUCAUUUCAUCCUCCCAUGAUUGAUGACGUCCCAUAAAAUCAGCAGCUGAACGUCGAUUCUCAUAAAUCAGAAAAUCAUGUGUGCAUCUACGCCACGGUGCGUUCCUGUAAUGCAUUUGAUAACGGGUAUCCAAUGAUAUAUUUCCUUCGGGAUCGUUGUGAACGUCGGCCGAUGAUUCACGAUGGGUCCCAAGAAAAGGAUCCUAGGGUAUCAUCGCCUAUAAAUACAUCUAGUAGCCUCCGGCAAGGACGUCGUCGUCGGUUCCUGAGAGAAGAAGAAUCCCUAGGUGGCCUCCACGCGUCUGGACUUCGUGUUAAUUGCUAUCGCGUGUUUACGUCAGACUGAAUCUUCAUCUUGGAUUUUUUAUUUUUCUCCGUCUUUAUCUUCUUUUCCUUCUGCAUAUUCUUAACUUUGUCAAUCCUUUAUAUGCCAUUCGAUUUUCUUUAUUAUCCACGUAUAUACAUAUAUACAUUAUACUGAGCCUU